UAUUGCGCAAUGGGCGAAAGCCUGACGCAGCAACGCCGCGUGAGGGAUGAAGGUUCUCGGAUUGUAAACCUCUGUCAGGGGGGAAAAAACCUAUAUCGGUUAAUACCCGGUAUAAUUGAUGGUACCCCCAAAGGAAGCACCGGCUAACUCCGUGCCAGCAGCCGCGGUAAUACGGGGGGUGCAAGCGUUGUUCGGAAUUAUUGGGCGUAAAGCGCACGUAGGUGGCAUCAGAAGUCCGGUGUGAAAUCCCCCGGCUUAACCGAGGAAGUGCGCCGGAAACCAUGAAGCUUGAGUAUAGGAGGGGAGAGUGGAAUUCCCAGUGUAGAGGUGAAAUUCGUAGAUAUUGGGAGGAACACCGGUGGCGAAAGCGACUCUCUGGACUAUUACUGACACUAAGUCGAAA
Molecule: ribosomal RNA, 403 nt
Filed under: uncultured bacterium
Lineage: Bacteria
Description: bacterial SSU rRNA
Rfam family: Bacterial small subunit ribosomal RNA
Source: RNAcentral